UAACUCUGCAAAGCACUUUGGAUGCUCAGAAAUUGGAUUGACCUCUUUGAUGCUAGGUUUGAAAAUGGUAAUCUGAACCUUCGCUUUCUUUUUCCUUUUUGUCUUAAUUCUAAUUUGGGAAGUUUCCUGAGAUUUUACUGCUUUACUGAGUGUUUAGUGUUUUUUACUGCAGGUUAUGUUAUUGCAGUAUGUUUUCAUGGUCAAGAGUGCAGGACAUGAAUUGAUGAUGAUGAUCAAACAAGGCUGCAAGUCGACUUGGCAUAUGCAGGGCAAAGUAAUGUUCAUGGUCAAGGUUUGAAAGGUCUAC
This 307-nucleotide long non-coding RNA is filed under the name Lathyrus oleraceus (garden pea). Its description in RNAcentral is "Pisum sativum (pea) long non-coding RNA (PSAT_LNC010758)". The record is from RNAcentral. Lineage: Eukaryota; Viridiplantae; Streptophyta; Magnoliopsida; Fabales; Fabaceae.